This 837-nucleotide non-coding RNA is filed under the name Eugongylus rufescens. The record is from RNAcentral. Lineage: Eukaryota; Metazoa; Chordata; Lepidosauria; Squamata; Scincidae.
ACAAAGUUUUGGUCCUAAACUUGCCCUUGUUUUUAAUAAAAAUUACACAUGCAAGCCUCCCCGCACCAGUGAGAAUGCCCACAUCAACCCAAACAGUCCUAAGGAGCAGGCAUCAGGAACACAAACCAUUCGCCCAAAACGCCUUGCUACGCCACACCCACAAGGGUACUCAGCAGUGAAAGACAUUAACAAUAAGCGAAAGCUUGACUUAGUUAUUAUUAAUUAUGGUCGGUAAAUUUCGUGCCAGCCACCGCGGUUAUACGAAAGACCAAAAACAAUGGCCCACGGCGUAAAGAGUGACAAGAGCCACCACAACCCUCUAAAGGAAAACCUCAACAAAGUUGUAAAAUACCCACGAUUGUAGGAACCUCAACAACAACCUGCCUUUAAACCACUCAGCCUCACGAAAACUGAGAAACAAACUGGGAUUAGAUACCCCACUAUGCUCAGCCGUCAACAAAAACAGUACAUACACAAGACUGUUCGCCAGAGAACUACAAGNNNNNNNCUAGAAACUCCAAGGACUUGGCGGUGCUCCACAUCAACCUAGAGGAGCCUGUCCUAUAAUCGAUACCCCCCGAUCUACCCCACCACCUCUUGAAACUCAGCCUAUAUACCGCCGUCGUCAGCCUACCCUGUGAGAGAAAGAAAGUAAGCAAAACAGUUAUCAACUAAAACGUCAGGUCAAGGUGUAGCUUAUGAGGUGGAAGAGAUGGGCUACACUCUCUCCCCCAGAGAACACGAAUAGCAAAAUGAAAUCCUGCUUAAAGGUGGAUUUAGCAGUAAGAUAGACAAGAACACCAAUCUUAAACUCGCCCUGGAGCGCGCACACACCGC